ACACCCUCUCUCCAGCGGCAGCCUAACCCACCAAGGGGAGAUGUUAAGCCCCACAACUAUGCAGGUGGGACCGUAGUCUCUGCACUUGCAGCACCAGGGGUAGGGACAGUCGGUCCUGUCCCCCAGCCACAGAGCAGUGUAUCCAGAGGGGAGACAGUCGGUCUCCCCCUCCCACAACCAGGCUACUUCAGUGGUAGCGCUGGCACCCGGGCAGAGUACCGCUGGUCUCUGCCCACUCAGCAACCCACCAAGGCAGUCUACCAGCCCCCCGCACAGCUGUGGUGAGGCACCUUGACAUGGACAAGUUGCUAUUUUAUCCAGGUGUAGUAACCAGUUAUUGUGGGUGGGCUGUAUUGCUGUUUGUGCUUUGUGGGUGGGUUGCUGGACUAACCAGGGCACUGACCGGC
Molecule: non-coding RNA, 407 nt
Organism: Pelobates cultripes (western spadefoot toad)
Lineage: Eukaryota; Metazoa; Chordata; Amphibia; Anura; Pelobatidae
Source: the annotation of a GenBank genome assembly